This 253-nucleotide ribosomal RNA is filed under the name uncultured bacterium. Its description in RNAcentral is "partial 16S ribosomal RNA". It matches the Rfam family "Bacterial small subunit ribosomal RNA", at positions 524 to 776 of the family's 1533-position model. The record is from RNAcentral.
UACGAGGGGGGCAAGCGUUGUUCGGAAUUAUUGGGCGUAAAGGGCGCGUAGGCGGUGCGGUAAGUCACCUGUGAAAUCUCCGGGCUUAACUCGGCGUCUGCAGGCGAAACUGCCGUGCUGGAGUAUGGGAGAGGGAUGCGGAAUUCCAGGUGUAGCGGUGAAAUGCGUAGAUAUCUGGAGGAACACCGGUGGCGAAGGCGGCAUCCUGGACCAACACUGACACUGAGGAGCGAAAGCCAGGGGAGCAAACGGG